UACGUAGGGUGCGAGCGUUGUCCGGAAUUAUUGGGCGUAAAGCGCACGUAGGCGGUUCGUUAAGUCGGAUGUGAAAGCCCUCGGCUCAACUGAGGAAGUGCACCCGAAACUGGCGAGCUUGAGUACGAAAGAGGAUCGCGGAAUUCCCGGUGUAGAGGUGAAAUUCGUAGAUAUCGGGAGAACACCGGUGGCGAAGGCGGCGAUCUGGGUCGAUACUGACGCUGAGGUGCGAAAGCGUGGGGAGCAAACAGG
Molecule: ribosomal RNA, 252 nt
Filed under: uncultured bacterium
Lineage: Bacteria
Description: partial 16S ribosomal RNA
Rfam family: Bacterial small subunit ribosomal RNA
Source: RNAcentral